This 301-nucleotide ribosomal RNA is filed under the name uncultured bacterium. RNAcentral's name for it is "partial 16S ribosomal RNA". It matches the Rfam family "Bacterial small subunit ribosomal RNA", at positions 509 to 807 of the family's 1533-position model. The record is from RNAcentral.
CAGCAGCCGCGGUAAAACAGAGGGUGCGAGCGUUAAUCGGAUUUACUGGGCGUAAAGCGUGCGUAGGCGGCUUUUUAAGUCGGAUGUGAAAUCCCUGAGCUUAACUUAGGAAUUGCAUUCGAUACUGGGAAGCUAGAGUAUGGGAGAGGAUGGUAGAAUUCCAGGUGUAGCGGUGAAAUGCGUAGAGAUCUGGAGGAAUACCGAUGGCGAAGGCAGCCAUCUGGCCUAAUACUGACGCUGAGGUACGAAAGCAUGGGGAGCAAACAGGAUUAGAUACCCCUGUAGUCCCUGUCUCUUAUAC